ACGUAGGGGGCAAGCGUUAUCCGGAUUUACUGGGUGUAAAGGGAGCGUAGACGGCAGCGCAAGUCUGGAGUGAAAUGCCGGGGCCCAACCCCGGAACUGCUUUGGAAACUGUGCAGCUCGAGUGCAGGAGAGGUAAGCGGAAUUCCUAGUGUAGCGGUGAAAUGCGUAGAUAUUAGGAGGAACACCAGUGGCGAAGGCGGCUUACUGGACUGUAACUGACGUUGAGGCUCGAAAGCGUGGGGAGCAA
This 247-nucleotide ribosomal RNA is filed under the name uncultured bacterium. Its description in RNAcentral is "partial 16S ribosomal RNA". It matches the Rfam family "Bacterial small subunit ribosomal RNA", at positions 525 to 771 of the family's 1533-position model. The record is from RNAcentral.